Molecule: long non-coding RNA, 1407 nt
Organism: Macaca fascicularis (crab-eating macaque)
Lineage: Eukaryota; Metazoa; Chordata; Mammalia; Primates; Cercopithecidae
Source: Ensembl
UUCAGGCUUGUUGAUGCAUUUUAUUGUGAGAUGGGGGGAGUCUGGUAAAAAACUAGAAAAUGACCAUGAUGUAACAAGGAACUUAAAAAUGAAGAGUCAGAUCUGUAACUUACAUACAUGAAUACAGGAACAAAUUGGCACAAAAUGUUAAACAUUGUUCCCAACACUGUUUAUAGAAGGUAAUCCUAAUUUGGCUUACUAAGGAAAUGAGAGUUUUAUGGUUAGGCUAAUUUCUUAAUAAAACUGCAGAGCAUCAUGCUAUUAGUCACACAGUGAAUUUCAAAAUUUAAGUUUUAUAUUAAAAACUGGGUAAAGGUAAAAUGACUUGAUUGUAGUUGUAAAACUAAUACAUUCCCAUUUAAGUUCUGUUCUACAGUCCAAGGCAAGUAUAAAUGUUAACAUAACACUGUUAAAUCAAAUCUCAAUGCAGGAGAACCAAUUGCAUCUCUACUUUAAAUCUUAUCAACUUUCCAAAUUUUCAUACUAAAAUAUAUUAUUGUAUUAAUACAAACUACAGUAUUAUACACUACACUGUGUAAUAAAUAAAGAAAUAUAAAAAUAAGACACAUAAAUAUAAAAGUUUUCUAAAACUAAAAGUACAUAUGUCAGUAAGAAGGGUAUUAAUACUGCCAGGUUUGAAGACAUACAGUACAAAAAUGUUGCACAGAUCUAUAAACUAAAAGAAAUAAAAUAAUACUGAUAGGUAAAAAUCAGCUAAUGUUGUUAAUAAAUUGGGUCCAUAAUAACUAACAUUUGGAAACAGUUAUGAGUCAAAUAACAAUGGCAUGUCCAUGUCUGAAAUGCAAGUACAUGGAUAAAGCAGAUUAGAAAAUUUCCCUUUCGUUUCUGUAGAGAAAUUCUGAAAGUCAAUUAACAUAAAAUCAAUACUGAGGAACUGAAGGGAUGAAAUAUCCCAGUGUUUCAGUUUCUCUGACAGAGUCAGUGGUUUUAAGUUUUAUUUGGGAAUUUUGAUACAACAAACAAAUCAACAAAUGCUAGUUAUUGUAGGCCACACAUUGGAUGAAGGCGGGUUAGAGCCUUGAAAAUACUGAGAAAUGGCACUUACAGCACACAGGUCUUGCUUAAGGCCAAAGGAGAUACAAAGCUUCAUGUCAUAUCCUUCAUAUGUUACCACAUAUUCAAACACAAUCACAAACACUGAUUCUGACGAUUUUGCUGUCCUUACCAGAUUAACACUGUUAGUCCCUGCAAUCAGAACUCAAUGGCAAUCUUUUGAACUCCAUUUUAAACCACAUGAGUAAGAAAAUUCAGUUCUUCUAUCAGCUGCUUUCUUAAGGCUAACAAUACACUUUAAAUGAUAAUACGCUCUACUAAGACAUCUAAAUAUUAGAAAUUACUACCUUCUAGAUUGAAUUUAUAAAAGGUAGUUAGCACGGGUUGGAACUA